AUUGAACGCUGGCGGCAUGCCUUACACAUGCAAGUCGAACGGUAACAGGUCUUCGGAUGCUGACGAGUGGCGAACGGGUGAGUAAUACAUCGGAACGUGCCCGAUCGUGGGGGAUAACGCAGCGAAAGCUGUGCUAAUACCGCAUACGAUCUACGGAUGAAAGCGGGGGAUCGCAAGACCUCGCGCGGACGGAGCGGCCGAUGGCAGAUUAGGUAGUUGGUGGGAUAAAAGCUUACCAAGCCGACGAUCUGUAGCUGGUCUGAGAGGACGACCAGCCACACUGGGACUGAGACACGGCCCAGACUCCUACGGGAGGCAGCAGUGGGGAAUUUUGGACAAUGGGCGCAAGCCUGAUCCAGCCAUGCCGCGUGCAGGAUGAAAGCCUUCGGGUUGUAAACUGCUUUUGUACGGAACGAAAAAAGACUCUCUCUAAUACAGGGGGUGAAUGACGGUACCGUAAGAAUAAGCACCGGCUAACUACGUGCCAGCAGCCGCGGUAA
RNAcentral lists this ribosomal RNA (500 nucleotides) under uncultured bacterium. RNAcentral describes it as "bacterial SSU rRNA". It matches the Rfam family "Bacterial small subunit ribosomal RNA", at positions 30 to 523 of the family's 1533-position model. The record is from RNAcentral.